CUACGAAUGGAGCAAGCGUUGUUCGGAAUCACUGGGCGUAAAGCGUACGUAGGCGGUUUGUUAAGUUAGAUGUGAAAGCCCCGGGCUUAACCUGGGAACUGCACUUAAAACUGGCAGACUAGAGUUUGAUAGAGGAGAGUGGAAUUUCAGGUGUAGCGGUGAAAUGCGUAGAGAUCUGAAGGAACAUCAGUGGCGAAGGCGACUCUCUGGAUUAAAACUGACGCUGAGGUACGAAAGCGUGGGUAGCAAACAGGAUUAGAUACCCUAGUAGUCC
This 274-nucleotide ribosomal RNA is filed under the name uncultured bacterium. Its description in RNAcentral is "partial 16S ribosomal RNA". It matches the Rfam family "Bacterial small subunit ribosomal RNA", at positions 523 to 796 of the family's 1533-position model. The record is from RNAcentral.